UUCUUCGGGGCAGGGUGUAAUUCCCGACCGGCGGUUAUAGUCCGCGACCGAGUGUGAAAACUCGCUGAUUUGGUGAAAUUCCAAAACCGACAGUAAAGUCUGGAUGAGAGAAGAA
Molecule: non-coding RNA, 115 nt
Filed under: uncultured Lachnoclostridium sp.
Lineage: Bacteria; Bacillati; Bacillota; Clostridia; Lachnospirales; Lachnospiraceae
Description: FMN riboswitch (RFN element)
Rfam family: FMN riboswitch aptamer (RFN element)
About the family: The RFN element is a highly conserved domain that is found frequently in the 5'-untranslated regions of prokaryotic mRNAs that encode for flavin mononucleotide (FMN) biosynthesis and transport proteins. This element is a metabolite-dependent riboswitch that directly binds FMN in the absence of proteins.
Source: RNAcentral